AGUGAACGCUGGCGGUAGGCCUAGCACAUGCAAGUCGAACGGCAGCACAGUAAGAGCUUGCUCUUACGGGUGGCGAGUGGCGGACGGGUGAGGAAUACAUCGGAAUCUACUUUUUCGUGGGGGAUAACGUAGGGAAACUUACGCUAAUACCGGAUACGACCUACGGGUGAAAGCAGGGGAUCUUCGGACCUUGCGCGAUUGAAUGAGCCGAUGUCGGAUUAGCUAGUUGGCGGGGUAAAGGCCCACCAAGGCGACGAUCCGUAGCUGGUCUGAGAGGAUGAUCAGCCACACUGGAACUGAGACACGGUCCAGACUCCUACGGGAGGCAGCAGUGGGGAAUAUUGGACAAUGGGCGCAAGCCUGAUCCAGCCAUACCGCGUGGGUGAAGAAGGCCUUCGGGUUGUAAAGCCCUUUUGUUGGGAAAGAAAAGCAGCAGGUUAAUACCCCGCUGUUCUGACGGUACCCAAAGAAUAAGCACCGGCUAACUUCGUG
Molecule: ribosomal RNA, 492 nt
Filed under: uncultured bacterium
Lineage: Bacteria
Description: partial 16S ribosomal RNA
Rfam family: Bacterial small subunit ribosomal RNA
Source: RNAcentral